UACGGAGGGUGCAAGCGUUAAUCGGAAUUACUGGGCGUAAAGCGCGCGUAGGCGGCUUGGCAAGCUGGAUGUGAAAGCCCUGGGCUCAACCUGGGAACUGCAUCCAGAACUGCUUGGCUAGAGUAUGGUAGAGGGUAGUGGAAUUUCCGGUGUAGCGGUGAAAUGCGUAGAUAUCGGAAGGAACACCAGUGGCGAAGGCGGCUACCUGGACCAAUACUGACGCUGAGGUGCGAAAGCGUGGGGAGCAAAC
RNAcentral lists this ribosomal RNA (250 nucleotides) under uncultured archaeon. RNAcentral's name for it is "partial 16S ribosomal RNA". It matches the Rfam family "Bacterial small subunit ribosomal RNA", at positions 524 to 773 of the family's 1533-position model. The record is from RNAcentral.